Molecule: non-coding RNA, 345 nt
Organism: Myodes glareolus (Bank vole)
Lineage: Eukaryota; Metazoa; Chordata; Mammalia; Rodentia; Cricetidae
Source: RefSeq, a predicted model, not a curated record
UGCAGAUUUCAUGGAAAACUCACCUGUAGACGUGAAUGUGAAGCAACUAGACGGAUCUUCCAGGUCCCCCGCAUGCAGUGUGACUGGCUCUCUGGAAACAAGAACAGUGUGCAGAUUUAUUCUGCCAAUCUAACUGGACUGACAAACACCUAGGUAGAGAAUCUAAUCUAAAUGCCAACGCAAACAUGUCUUUUCUAAGGCACAGCACGAAGAUACAGGGACCAAGGCAAGCAAUCCAGUGCACAAGUCCAUUUCAACUGCUAGUCAUUAGACAGCACCGGCCUUCUAUGUGAACAGCACCUGCAGUGGUUCUGAUGAUCCUGCUGCGUUCUAAAUACAGGACUU